AUGAUCAACCAUAUUCCAAGUUCUUUAAAAGCAUGUAGCUUGUUCAUAUAUGGUAUCUAUGAGCUAGGCUUGGAGAGACACUAUUAUAGGGGGGUUCCUUUGUUCGAGGAGUGUCUAGUGAUAGAGGAAAAGAGUUGUAUUGGCAAUGAGAUCAUAAUCAAUCCUUCUCUUCUACAGCAGCCUUGGGGAUUGUUCAGAUGCUACAUGACAUAG
Molecule: non-coding RNA, 213 nt
Organism: Vicia faba (fava bean)
Lineage: Eukaryota; Viridiplantae; Streptophyta; Magnoliopsida; Fabales; Fabaceae
Source: the annotation of a GenBank genome assembly